GAUGAACGCUGGCGGCGUGCCUAAUACAUGCGAGUCGAGCGAACAGACGAGGAGCUUGCUCCUCUGACGUUAGCGGCGGACGGGUGAGUAACACGUGGAUAACCUACCUAUAAGACUGGGAUAAAUUCGGGAAACCGGAGCUAAUACCGGAUAAUAUAUUGAACCGCAUGGUUCAAUAGUGAAAGACGGUUUUGAUGUCACUUAUAGAUGGAUCCGCGCCGCAUUAGCUAGUUGGUAAGGUAACGGCUUACCAAGGCAACGAUGCGUAGCCGACCUGAGAGGGUGAUCGGCCACACUUGAACUGAGACACGGUCCAGACUCCUACGGGAGGCAGCAGGAGGGAAUCUUCCGCAAUGGGCGAAAGCCUGACGGAGCAACGCCGCGUGAGUGAUGAAGGUCUUCGGAUCGUAAAACUCUGUUAUUAGGGAAGAACAAAUGUGUAAGUAACUAUGCACGUCUUGACGGUACCUAAUCAGAAAGCCACGGCUAACUACGUG
Molecule: ribosomal RNA, 497 nt
Filed under: uncultured bacterium
Lineage: Bacteria
Description: partial 16S ribosomal RNA
Rfam family: Bacterial small subunit ribosomal RNA
Source: RNAcentral